Small nuclear RNA from Camelus dromedarius (Arabian camel), 101 nucleotides. NCBI's taxonomy places the organism in Eukaryota, Metazoa, Chordata, Mammalia, Artiodactyla, Camelidae. The record is from Ensembl.
GUUCUUGCUUAGUAGCACCUACACUAAAAUAGUAACAAUACAGAGAUUAGUAGGGCCCAUAAGUAAGGAUAAUACAAGCUCAUGAUGCUAUCUGUAUUUUU